UUUUUAGUAUAAGUAUGCCCCAUGCUAUAUUUGGGAAUACUUAUACUAAAA
Molecule: microRNA precursor, 51 nt
Organism: Nomascus leucogenys (northern white-cheeked gibbon)
Lineage: Eukaryota; Metazoa; Chordata; Mammalia; Primates; Hylobatidae
Rfam family: mir-1302 microRNA precursor family
Source: Rfam